Molecule: transfer RNA, 72 nt
Filed under: Heterocephalus glaber (naked mole-rat)
Lineage: Eukaryota; Metazoa; Chordata; Mammalia; Rodentia; Bathyergidae
Rfam family: tRNA
About the family: Transfer RNA (tRNA) molecules are approximately 80 nucleotides in length. Their secondary structure includes four short double-helical elements and three loops (D, anti-codon, and T loops).
Source: Rfam by way of RNAcentral
GGGAAUGUAGCUUACUGGUAGAGCACUUGCCUAACAUCCACAAGAGCCAGGGUUCGAUUCCCAGCACUACCA